GGACCCGUAGCUCAAGUGGAUAGAGCACUGCGCUUCGAACGCAGGGGUUGGGAGUUCGAGUCUCUCCGGGUCCGCCA
RNAcentral lists this transfer RNA (77 nucleotides) under Terriglobia bacterium. RNAcentral describes it as "tRNA-Arg". It matches the Rfam family "tRNA". From Rfam's summary of the family: Transfer RNA (tRNA) molecules are approximately 80 nucleotides in length. Their secondary structure includes four short double-helical elements and three loops (D, anti-codon, and T loops). Further hydrogen bonds mediate the characteristic L-shaped molecular structure. tRNAs have two regions of fundamental functional importance: the anti-codon, which is responsible for specific mRNA codon recognition, and the 3' end, to which the tRNAs corresponding amino acid is attached (by aminoacyl-tRNA synthetases). tRNAs cope with the degeneracy of the genetic code in two manners: having more than one tRNA (with a specific anti-codon) for a particular amino acid; and 'wobble' base-pairing, i.e. permitting non-standard base-pairing at the 3rd anti-codon position. Lineage: Bacteria; Pseudomonadati; Acidobacteriota; Terriglobia. The record is from RNAcentral.